Molecule: RNase P RNA, 380 nt
Filed under: Micrococcales bacterium
Lineage: Bacteria; Bacillati; Actinomycetota; Actinomycetes; Micrococcales
Description: RNase P RNA component class A
Rfam family: Bacterial RNase P class A
About the family: Ribonuclease P (RNase P) is a ubiquitous endoribonuclease, found in archaea, bacteria and eukarya as well as chloroplasts and mitochondria. Its best characterised activity is the generation of mature 5'-ends of tRNAs by cleaving the 5'-leader elements of precursor-tRNAs.
Source: RNAcentral
CGAGUCGGCCGGGCGGCCGCGGCAUCGUCCAGAUGUCGAGGAAAGUCCGGACUCCGAAGGGCAAGGUGAUGGGUAACGCCCAUCCGGAGAGAUCCGCGGGACAGUGCAACAGAGAGUAGACCGCCACUCAUUACUGGGUGGUAAGGGUGAAACGGUGGUGUAAGAGACCACCAGCAGUCGGGGCGACCCGAUUGGCUCGGUAAACCCCACCCGGAGCAAGGCCAAGAGGUUGAUGCACAGCAUUGACUGCGCGAGCGUUCGAGGGCGGCCCGCCCGAGUUCGCGGGUAGGCUGCACCAGGUCGUCGGCAACGACGGUCGCAGAUGGAUGGUCGCCGCCGGGAAACCGGCACAGAAUCCGGCUUAUAGGUCGACUCGUUCC